AUUGAACGCUGGCGGCAUGCCUUACACAUGCAAGUCGAACGGCAGCACGGGUGCUUGCAUCUGGUGGCGAGUGGCGAACGGGUGAGUAAUACAUCGGAACAUGUCCUGUAGUGGGGGAUAGCCCGGCGAAAGCCGGAUUAAUACCGCAUACGAUCUACGGAUGAAAGCGGGGGACCUUCGGGCCUCGCGCUAUAGGGUUGGCCGAUGGCUGAUUAGCUAGUUGGUGGGGUAAAGGCCUACCAAGGCGACGAUCAGUAGCUGGUCUGAGAGGACGACCAGCCACACUGGGACUGAGACACGGUCCAGACUCCUACGGGAGGCAGCAGUGGGGAAUUUUGGACAAUGGGCGAAAGCCUGAUCCAGCAAUGCCGCGUGUGUGAAGAAGGCCUUCGGGUUGUAAAGCACUUUUGUCCGGAAAGAAAUCCUUGGCCCUAAUACGGUCGGGGGAUGACGGUACCGGAAGAAUAAGCACCGGCUAACUACGUG
RNAcentral lists this ribosomal RNA (486 nucleotides) under uncultured bacterium. RNAcentral describes it as "partial 16S ribosomal RNA". It matches the Rfam family "Bacterial small subunit ribosomal RNA", at positions 30 to 507 of the family's 1533-position model. The record is from RNAcentral.